CCGAAACAAGACAGGACUAGAAUGACCACAGAAAUCCAGUAAAUCACCCACACUGUCACCUGUACUCUACAGCUGGGUGGUCUCCAUCCUGCAGUUUAAGAAGCAGACAUCAAAACGUGGAGAAGGGAGGAACUCAUCUCAGAAGGGAAGUAGGAAGGAAUGAAUGGACCACAGAUCAAGUCAAGGAUGAGGUGAAGAGUUCCAGAAGCAGCAAGGCAGUCAAUCUACAAACUGUAGCUCAAACUGCAAGAGGGUAACAGAUAGAGGCAUGUAGAAAAGGAGAAGAGACAUUUGCAACACUGCUCCCCUACUCAUGAAGCUCCCACCCGUGAUUUGAACCCAGGUCAUCAUAUAUGGUAAUAUGUGAUUUACUGAGCAAGUUUCCACCUGGUCCCAUAAAUAAGCAUGAUUAAGGUCAAAAUGGAAUCACAUGGGUUAGGAAAAAUGAAGAUAGAAAGACCUGAGAUUUGGGGACUGGGCUGUAGUGCACCUGAUUAAGCACACAUAUUACCAAAUGCAAGGACCCAGGUUCGAACCUCCACUCUCCACCUAUGAGGAGAAGCUUCACAAGUGGUGAAGAAGGUCUGCAGGUGUCUCUCUUUCUCUUUCCCUCUCUAUCUCCCCUCUUCUCUCAAUUUAUCUCUG
Long non-coding RNA from Erinaceus europaeus (western European hedgehog), 645 nucleotides. RefSeq lists it as uncharacterized. NCBI's taxonomy places the organism in Eukaryota, Metazoa, Chordata, Mammalia, Eulipotyphla, Erinaceidae. The transcript has 3 exons. The record is from RefSeq and is a predicted model, not a curated record.